GAAGAUGCCAGCGUGGAGUGCUCAGGAACAGAAAUACCUGAGCCAGGCCCAAUCCGGCUGGUAGGAGGCCCAAAUCGAUGUGCUGGGAGGGUUGAGGUGCUUCAUGAAGAACAGUGGGGCAGCAUCUGCCAUGAUGACUGGGAUCUAAAUGAUGCCCAAGUCGUGUGCAAGCAACUGGGCUGUGGGGAUGCGGUGCUGGCCCCCAUUGGAGCCAAGUUUGGACGAGGAUUUGACACCAUCUGGCUGGAUGAUGUGAACUGCACAGGGACGGAAGCUGCUCUCUCUGAAUGCCCGGCGAGGCCAUGGGGGGAACACAAUUGUUACCACGGGGAAGACGCCAGUGCAAUUUGUUCAGAGUCGGGGAUCACCGUCUCCACUUCAGUCCGCCUGGUGGGUGGCCCCAACCGCUGCUCCGGGAGAGUCGAGGUGCUUCACAACGGUGU
This is a long non-coding RNA of Calidris pugnax (ruff), 443 nucleotides long. RefSeq lists it as uncharacterized. The record is from RefSeq and is a predicted model, not a curated record. NCBI's taxonomy places the organism in Eukaryota, Metazoa, Chordata, Aves, Charadriiformes, Scolopacidae. The transcript has 3 exons.